This 463-nucleotide long non-coding RNA is filed under the name Coccomyxa subellipsoidea. Its description in RNAcentral is "long non-coding RNA (CSUB_LNC000694)". The record is from RNAcentral. Lineage: Eukaryota; Viridiplantae; Chlorophyta; Trebouxiophyceae; Coccomyxaceae.
UAGCAGCAUUGAAGCCGUCUUCAAGCUGAUGAGGGUAUUCUCGUCUCCCGAGGCAGGAGCAAUUUUGCCUUGUGCUGGCUUCGCCUUCUCCUCCUGAGCAGCAGCAGCAGCGCCUGCACCUCGCUUGGACCUGCUGGUCUUGUUCCUGGUCCUCUUGGCUGUGUCUCCUGCAUGGAGCCCCCUGCAGCGCACAUUUGGUGUGUUUGUGUCAUGACCUGGCAAGGAGGCACAGACAUCCUCGCACACUUCCUUCCACCACCAUACCUUUGGAUCACAUGCUAUAAGCAUGCAUGCAACAUACUCAACACAAUGCGAGCUCCCUUCAUGCAUGAGGGCUGACAAAGAGCUCACUUGUGCUCUUUGUGCUGCCGUGGGUGUGCGCCACGCUCAUGGUGUUUAUGCACACCAAUGAUGGCACCUGACUGCUGUGCAGAGAACACUCAAGCCCAGGGGCAUCCUCCUU